GGGCCGUUAGCUCAACUGGUAGAGCAACUGACUCUUAAUCAGUAGGUUUGGGGUUCGAGUCCCCGACGGCCUACCA
RNAcentral lists this transfer RNA (76 nucleotides) under Deltaproteobacteria bacterium. RNAcentral's name for it is "tRNA-Lys". It matches the Rfam family "tRNA". From Rfam's summary of the family: Transfer RNA (tRNA) molecules are approximately 80 nucleotides in length. Their secondary structure includes four short double-helical elements and three loops (D, anti-codon, and T loops). Lineage: Bacteria; Pseudomonadati; Myxococcota; Myxococcia. The record is from RNAcentral.